This 1611-nucleotide ribosomal RNA is filed under the name Triticum aestivum (bread wheat). RNAcentral describes it as "partial small subunit ribosomal RNA". The record is from RNAcentral. Lineage: Eukaryota; Viridiplantae; Streptophyta; Magnoliopsida; Poales; Poaceae.
AUGCGCCCGAGUUCACGGCCGCGCCACCGCUUCCUCCUCCGGCCAGGCUCCCCCGGCCCCGGUCGCCACGCCGCCGUCCUUCUUCAAGGUCAUGACGGGCUCCUUCUCCGAAAAACUGGUGCGAAUCCGCAUUCCCAUUUUCCUCUCACAACCAGACAUGUGUGUGCACUGCAAUGGUUCGGAGAUUCUUCACCGGGGAUGCACCGGUGCAUGCAGGACGUGCCGCCCCCGUUUGCCAAGAACAUUUCGGACCUGGCGGACACCAACGUCUACCUCGAAGACGCCUUCGGGCUCCGCUGGCGGGUGUACGUGAGCUCGCGCGACGGCCGCCUGUCGUUCGGGCACGGAUGGAGCAACUUCGUGCUGGACCACGCCGUCGCCGUCGGCGAGUUCCUGGUGUUCCGGCACAUCACCAGGUCAGUCUUCGUCGUCCAGAUCUUCGCUAAAUCCGCAUGUGAAAGGCUGCAUCUGUGCGAGAAGAACAAGAGGCAGAGCAAGAAGAGGAAGAAGCCCCAGGAGAAGGCGAGCUCCGACGGCGAUCGCACGGCGAAAGCAAGCAAGAAGAGCAGCAAGGAUAAAGAUAGGAAAAGCAGUAAAAAGAAGCAGCGUGCUUGUGAUCUGUUAGAUGGUGAUCAGGAUAGAGCUCACGGAGAUCAAGGUCAAGAUCAAGAUCACAUGGUGCUGAUAAGCACAGCAAACACUCAAGCUGAGAACUGUGGGGGCUCUGACUUUGGGACUUAUGCAGAACCGACAACACCUUUGGCCAUGAUGGAUCUCGACGAUGAGAUCACGGACGACAUAUUUCUGACAGCCGAUGCAUACGAAUUCGAAACUGAUCUCUGUAUUCCAGAAGAACCAGGAGUAUUUCCUGUGGACAAUGGUAUUGGUAUGGAAGCGCCCGUUACCCGGGGCCAAACUUCCGGUUUCAGCUGCGCCGAGAUGAUCGGCUCACGGAACUGCGACUCUUCCGUUGUCUGGCAUGAGCACAAGCCCUUUCCUCGUAUUGAUGCAGCAGAUCCUCCUAGUGAAUGCGCAACCGGCAAUUGCAAGAAGGAUACAGAUUAUAAGUUUAUGGAGUUCCUUUCCGAGGGCAACCAAGUUGACACAAAGGAAGCAAUUGUUCUAGUAGAAGAUUCGUCCGCGGAGCAAGACGAGGACCUGCGGAUGCAAGAUGGUGCAGGACGGGCUGCUGCAGAGAUUAUUUCUGGUGGCUCAAAGCCUGGUGAACGUGGCGAGCGCAGGCGAAAACGCCGUGUGCAACCUGCAGGGGAUCAUGAGAGCGCGAGUCCGAAUCCAAGCAGCAGAAAGCUCUGCGUCGCGGCGCCCCCAGCUGACCAAACGUGGCUGGAGCUCCCUUGCCGGAUGCCGGUGCUGCCGGGGAGGAAGAAGCAGGGGCGGAAGGUGGUGGUGCUGGAGGAUCCCGGCGGGAGGCGAUGGCCGGUGCUGUACCUGUGCACCCCGACCUUCAGCGGCUUCGUGGCCGGGUGGGCCGACGUGCGCGCGGAGAACGGCCUGCGGGAGGGCGACGCCUGCGAGCUCGAGCUCCGCCGCGGCAGCUACUCCGAGCUGGCGCUCCGAGUGCUGGGCGCGCCCGGUUCUACUUCUCAGUAG